AGUGAACGCUGGCGGUAGGCCUAACACAUGCAAGUCGAACGGCAGCACAGUAAGAGCUUGCUCUUACGGGUGGCGAGUGGCGGACGGGUGAGGAAUACAUCGGAAUCUACUUUUUCGUGGGGGAUAACGUAGGGAAACUUACGCUAAUACCGCAUACGACCUACGGGUGAAAGCAGGGGAUCUUCGGACCUUGCGCGAUUGAAUGAGCCGAUGUCGGAUUAGCUAGUUGGCGGGGUAAAGGCCCACCAAGGCGACGAUCCGUAGCUGGUCUGAGAGGAUGAUCAGCCACACUGGAACUGAGACACGGUCCAGACUCCUACGGGAGGCAGCAGUGGGGAAUAUUGGACAAUGGGCGCAAGCCUGAUCCAGCCAUACCGAGUGGGUGAAGAAGGCCUUCGGGUUGUAAAGCCCUUUUGUUGGGAAAGAAAAGCAGCAGGUUAAUACCCAGCUGUUCUGACGGUACCCAAAGAAUAAGCACCGGCUAACUUCGUG
Molecule: ribosomal RNA, 492 nt
Filed under: uncultured bacterium
Lineage: Bacteria
Description: partial 16S ribosomal RNA
Rfam family: Bacterial small subunit ribosomal RNA
Source: RNAcentral